GGGCGCUUAACUCAGCGGAAGAGUGACGCCUUCACACGGCGUAAGUCGUAGGUUCAAUCCCUACAGCGCCCA
RNAcentral lists this transfer RNA (72 nucleotides) under Myxococcales bacterium. Its description in RNAcentral is "tRNA-Val". It matches the Rfam family "tRNA". From Rfam's summary of the family: Transfer RNA (tRNA) molecules are approximately 80 nucleotides in length. Their secondary structure includes four short double-helical elements and three loops (D, anti-codon, and T loops). Further hydrogen bonds mediate the characteristic L-shaped molecular structure. tRNAs have two regions of fundamental functional importance: the anti-codon, which is responsible for specific mRNA codon recognition, and the 3' end, to which the tRNAs corresponding amino acid is attached (by aminoacyl-tRNA synthetases). tRNAs cope with the degeneracy of the genetic code in two manners: having more than one tRNA (with a specific anti-codon) for a particular amino acid; and 'wobble' base-pairing, i.e. permitting non-standard base-pairing at the 3rd anti-codon position. The record is from RNAcentral. Lineage: Bacteria; Pseudomonadati; Myxococcota; Myxococcia; Myxococcales. RNAcentral also lists the same sequence under 1 other name.